This 626-nucleotide ribosomal RNA is filed under the name uncultured bacterium. RNAcentral's name for it is "bacterial SSU rRNA". The stretch from base 1 to 518 matches the Rfam family "Bacterial small subunit ribosomal RNA", at positions 338 to 873 of the family's 1533-position model. The record is from RNAcentral.
CCUACGGGAGGCAGCAGUGGGGAAUCUUGCGCAAUGGGCGAAAGCCUGACGCAGCCAUGCCGCGUGAAUGAUGAAGGUCUUAGGAUUGUAAAAUUCUUUCACCGGGGACGAUAAUGACGGUACCCGGAGAAGAAGCCCCGGCUAACUUCGUGCCAGCAGCCGCGGUAAUACGAAGGGGGCUAGCGUUGCUCGGAAUUACUGGGCGUAAAGGGAGCGUAGGCGGAUAGUUUAGUCAGAGGUGAAAGCCCAGGGCUCAACCUUGGAAUUGCCUUUGAUACUGGCUAUCUUGAGUAUGGGAGAGGUAUGCGGAACUCCGAGUGUAGAGGUGAAAUUCGUAGAUAUUCGGAAGAACACCAGUGGCGAAGGCGGCAUACUGGCCCAUUACUGACGCUGAGGCUCGAAAGCGUGGGGAGCAAACAGGAUUAGAUACCCUGGUAGUCCACGCUGUAAACGAUGAGUGCUAGUUGUCGGCAUGCAUGCAUGUCGGUGACGCAGCUAACGACAUUAAGACGACCGUCCGCCGUCGGGGAGGGUACGGGUCGGCGAAGUAAGUUAAAACUUAACGAAAGGUAAAGUUAGUUACGGCGUUGAGGACGUGCCGACGGACGACCGACGAGGGGAGGAGG